Molecule: ribosomal RNA, 253 nt
Filed under: uncultured bacterium
Lineage: Bacteria
Description: partial 16S ribosomal RNA
Rfam family: Bacterial small subunit ribosomal RNA
Source: RNAcentral
GACGUAGGAUGCAAGCGUUGUCCGGAUUUAUUGGGCGUAAAGAGUUCGUCGGCGGUUCGUUAAGUCUGAUGUUAAAGACUGGGGCUCAACCCCGGGAGUGCAUUGGAUACUGGCGGACUGGAGUGUGGUAGAGGCUAGUGGAAUUCCCAGUGUAGCGGUGAAAUGCGUAGAUAUUGGGAAGAACACCAGUGGCGUAGGCGACUAGCUGGGCCAUAACUGACGCUGAGGAACGAAAGCCAGGGGAGCGAAUGGG